This 441-nucleotide ribosomal RNA is filed under the name uncultured bacterium. Its description in RNAcentral is "partial 16S ribosomal RNA". It matches the Rfam family "Bacterial small subunit ribosomal RNA", at positions 338 to 795 of the family's 1533-position model. The record is from RNAcentral.
CCUACGGGAGGCAGCAGUGGGGAAUAUUGGGCAAUGGACGCACGUCUGACCCAGCAACGCCGCGUGAAGGAAGAAUGCCUUCGGGUUGUAAACUUCUUUUAAGGGGGAAGAGCAGAAGACGGUACCCAUUGAAAUAGCCACGGCAAACUACGUGCCAGCAGGCGAAGUAAUACGUAGGGAGCGAGGGUUGUCCGGAUAUACUGGGUGUAAAGGGAGCGUAGGCGGGAAUGCAAGUUGGAUGUAAAAACUCGCGGCUCAACCGAUAGUCGCAGUUAAAACUGCAGCUCUUGAGUGAAGUAGAGGCAGGCGGAAUGCCUAGUGUAGCGGUGAAAUGCGUAGAUAUUAGGAGGAACACCAGUGGCGAAGGCGGCCUGCUGGGCUUUUACUGACGCUGAGGCACGAAAGUGUGGGGAGCAAACAGGAUUAGAUACCCCAGUAGUC